GAUGAACGCUGGCGGCGUGCUUAACACAUGCAAGUCGAACGAAGCGCUUAAGAUUGAUUCUUCGGAUGAUUUCCUUUGCGACUUAGUGGCGGACGGGUGAGUAACGCGUGGGUAACCUGCCUCACACAGGGGGAUAACAGUUAGAAAUGACUGCUAAUACCGCAUAACCCGAUAGGAUCGCAUGAUCCAGACGGAAAAGAUUUAUCGGUGUGAGUUGGACCCGCGUCUGAUUAGCUAGUUGGUGAGGUAACGGCCCACCAAGGCGACGAUCAGUAGCCGGCCUGAGAGGGUGAACGGCCACAUUGGGACUGAGACACGGCCCAAACUCCUACGGGAGGCAGCAGUGGGGAAUAUUGCACAAUGGGGGAAACCCUGAUGCAGCGACGCCGCGUGAGUGAAGAAGUAUUUCGGUAUGUAAAGCUCUAUCAGCAGGGAAGAAAAUGACGGUACCUGACUAAGAAGCCCCGGCUAACUACGUGCCAGCAGCCGCCGUAA
RNAcentral lists this ribosomal RNA (495 nucleotides) under uncultured bacterium. RNAcentral describes it as "partial 16S ribosomal RNA". It matches the Rfam family "Bacterial small subunit ribosomal RNA", at positions 28 to 523 of the family's 1533-position model. The record is from RNAcentral.